AUUCUGUAGCAAGGUUAACCGAAUAGGGGAGCCGGAGGGAAACCGAGUCUUAACCGGGCGUUAAGUUGCAGGGUAUAGACCCGAAACCCGGUGAUCUAGCCAUGGGCAGGUUGAAGGUUGGGUAACACUAACUGGAGGACCGAACCGACUAAUGUUGAAAAAUUAGCGGAUGACCUGUGGCUGGGGGUGAAAGGCCAAUCAAACCGGGAGAUAGCUGGUUCUCCCCGAAAGCUAUUUAGGUAGCGCCUCGUGAAUUCAUCUCCGGGGGUAGAGCACUGUUUCGGCUAGGGGGCCAUCCCGGCUUACCAACCCGAUGCAAACUGCGAAUACCGGAGAAUGUUAUCACGGGAGACACACGGCGGGUGCUAACGUCCGUCGUGAAGAGGGAAACAACCCAGACCGCCAGCUAAGGUCCCAAAGUCAUGGUUAAGUGGGAAACGAUGUGGGAAGGCCCAGACAGCCAGGAUGUUGGCUUAGAAGCAGCCAUCAUUUAAAGAAAGCGUAAUAGCUCACUGGUCGAGUCGGCCUGCGCGGAAGAUGUAACGGGGCUAAACCAUGCACCGAAGCUGCGGCAGCGACGCUGAUGCGUUGUUGGGUAGGGGAGCGUUCUGUAAGCCUGCGAAGGUGUGUCGUGAGGCAUGCUGGAGGUAUCAGAAGUGCGAAUGCUGACAUAAGUAACGAUAAAGCGGGUGAAAAGCCCGCUCGCCGGAAGACCAAGGGUUCCUGUCCAACGUUAAUCGGGGCAGGGUGAGUCGACCCCUAAGGCGAGGCCGAAAGGCGUAGUCGAUGGGAAACGGGUUAAUAUUCCCGUACUUGGUGUUACUGCGAAGGGGGGACGGAGAAGGCUAUGUUGGCCGGGCGACGGUUGUCCCGGUUUAAGCGUGUAGGUGUGUGUUCCAGGUAAAUCCGGUUCACUUUAACACUGAGGCGUGAUGACGAGGCACUACGGUGCUGAAGCAACAAAUGCCCUGCUUCCAGGAAAAGCCUCUAAGCAUCAGGUAACAUCAAAUCGUACCCCAAACCGACACAGGUGGUCAGGUAGAGAAUACCAAGGCGCUUGAGAGAACUCGGGUGAAGGAACUAGGCAAAAUGGUGCCGUAACUUCGGGAGAAGGCACGCUGACACGUAGGUGAAGUGAUUUACUCAUGGAGCUGAAGUCAGUCGAAGAUACCAGCUGGCUGCAACUGUUUAUUAAAAACACAGCACUGUGCAAACACGAAAGUGGACGUAUACGGUGUGACGCCUGCCCGGUGCCGGAAGGUUAAUUGAUGGGGUCAGCGCAAGCGAAGCUCCUGAUCGAAGCCCCGGUAAACGGCGGCCGUAACUAUAACGGUCCUAAGGUAGCGAAAUUCCUUGUCGGGUAAGUUCCGACCUGCACGAAUGGCGUAAUGAUGGCCAGGCUGUCUCCACCCGAGACUCAGUGAAAUUGAACUCGCUGUGAAGAUGCAGUGUACCCGCGGCAAGACGGAAAGACCCCGUGAACCUUUACUAUAGCUUGACACUGAACAUUGAGCCUUGAUGUGUAGGAUAGGUGGGAGGCUUUGAAGUGUGGACGCCAGUCUGCAUGGAGCCGGCCUUGAAAUACCACCCUUUAAUGUUUGAUGUUCUAACGUGGACCCGUGAUCCGGGUUGCGGACAGUGUCUGGUGGGUAGUUUGACUGGGGCGGUCUCCUCCUAAAGAGUAACGGAGGAGCACGAAGGUUGGCUAAUCCUGGUCGGACAUCAGGAGGUUAGUGCAAUGGCAUAAGCCAGCUUGACUGCGAGCGUGACGGCGCGAGCAGGUGCGAAAGCAGGUCAUAGUGAUCCGGUGGUUCUGAAUGGAAGGGCCAUCGCUCAACGGAUAAAAGGUACUCCGGGGAUAACAGGCUGAUACCGCCCAAGAGUUCAUAUCGACGGCGGUGUUUGGCACCUCGAUGUCGGCUCAUCACAUCCUGGGGCUGAAGUAGGUCCCAAGGGUAUGGCUGUUCGCCAUUUAAAGUGGUACGCGAGCUGGGUUUAGAACGUCGUGAGACAGUUCGGUCCCUAUCUGCCGUGGGCGCUGGAGAACUGAGGGGGGCUGCUCCUAGUACGAGAGGACCGGAGUGGACGCAUCACUGGUGUUCGGGUUGUCAUGCCAAUGGCACUGCCCGGUAGCUAAAUGCGGAAGAGAUAAGUGCUGAAAGCAUCUAAGCACGAAACUUGCCCCGAGAUGAGUUCUCCCUGAGACUUAGAGUCUCCUGAAGGAACGUUGAAGACGACGACGUUGAUAGGCCGGGUGUGUAAGCGCAGCGAUGCGUUGAGCUAACCGGUACUAAUGAACCGUGAGGCUUAACCUUACAACGCCGAA
RNAcentral lists this ribosomal RNA (2326 nucleotides) under Salmonella enterica subsp. enterica serovar Johannesburg. RNAcentral describes it as "partial 23S ribosomal RNA". It matches the Rfam family "Bacterial large subunit ribosomal RNA", at positions 632 to 2925 of the family's 2925-position model. Lineage: Bacteria; Pseudomonadati; Pseudomonadota; Gammaproteobacteria; Enterobacterales; Enterobacteriaceae. The record is from RNAcentral.